CCUACGGGAGGCAGCAGUGAGGAAUAUUGGUCAAUGGACGAGAGUCUGAACCAGCCACGUAGCGUGAAGGAUGACUGCCCUAUGGGUUGUAAACUUCUUUUAUAUGGGAGUAAAAUGUUCCGCGUGUGGGAUUGUGUAUGUACCAUAUGAAUAAGGAUCGGCUAACUCCGUGCCAGCAGCCGCGGUAAUACGGAGGAUCCGAGGGUUAUCCGGAUUUAUUGGGGUAAACGGGAGCGUAGGUGGAUUGUUAAGUCAGUUGUGAAAGUUUGCGGCUCAACCGUAAAAUUGCAGUUGAAACUGGUCUGCUUGAGUGAGCGAGAAGUAUGCGGAAUGCGUGGUGUAGCGGUGAAAUGCAUAGAUAUCACGCAGAACUCCGAUUGCGAAGGCAGCAUACCGGCGCUCAACUGACGCUGAGGCACGAAAGCGUGGGGAUCGAACAGGAUUAGAUACCCCUGUGUC
Molecule: ribosomal RNA, 459 nt
Filed under: uncultured bacterium
Lineage: Bacteria
Description: partial 16S ribosomal RNA
Rfam family: Bacterial small subunit ribosomal RNA
Source: RNAcentral